Molecule: non-coding RNA, 213 nt
Filed under: Streptomyces sp. NRRL F-4428
Lineage: Bacteria; Bacillati; Actinomycetota; Actinomycetes; Kitasatosporales; Streptomycetaceae
Description: Streptomyces RNA 1601
Rfam family: Streptomyces RNA 1601
About the family: Identified by deep sequencing of transcriptome at the end of exponential growth phase. Appears longer on northern blot than sequencing transcript.
Source: Rfam by way of RNAcentral
AUCGACCGGCCGGAUGCUGUGGCGUCCGGCCCACAAGUGGAGGCUCCGUUCUCCCACCUGACCGCCUUCCGGGGCGGCGGGUCACCGGUCAGGCGGCAUCCAUCGUUCCGUACGGACGAUGGAAAGCCGCCCGAGUCUGCGCCCCGCGUCUUCGCAUGCGGCGGUGCUCCGGUUGUUUUGGAGCCCCUGCCUGUGCCCGGCGGGGCUUUUUUU